RNAcentral lists this ribosomal RNA (534 nucleotides) under uncultured bacterium. RNAcentral describes it as "bacterial SSU rRNA". It matches the Rfam family "Bacterial small subunit ribosomal RNA", at positions 777 to 1307 of the family's 1533-position model. The record is from RNAcentral.
AAUAGAUACCCGGGUAGUCCACGCCGUAAACGAUGAGUGCUAAGUGUUGGGGGGGUUUCCGCCCCUCAGUGCUGCAGCUAACGCAUUAAGCACUCCGCCUGGGGAGUACGGCCGCAAGGCUGAAACUCAAAGGAAUUGACGGGGGGCCCGCACAAGCGGUGGAGCAUGUGGUUUAAUUCGAAGCAACGCGAAGAACCUUACCAGGUCUUGACAUCCCGCUGCCCGGUAUAGAGAUAUAUCUUUCCCUUCGGGGACAGCGGUGACAGGUGGUGCAUGGUUGUCGUCAGCUCGUGUCGUGAGAUGUUGGGUUAAGUCCCGCAACGAGCGCAACCCUUGAUCUUAGUUGCCAGCAUUUAGUUGGGCACUCUAAGGUGACUGCCGGUGACAAACCGGAGGAAGGUGGGGAUGACGUCAAAUCAUCAUGCCCCUUAUGACCUGGGCUACACACGUGCUACAAUGGAUGGUACAAAGGGCUGCAAGACCGCGAGGUUUAGCCAAUCCCAUAAAACCAUUCUCAGUUCGGAUUGCAGGCUG